This 380-nucleotide ribosomal RNA is filed under the name uncultured eukaryote. Its description in RNAcentral is "partial 18S ribosomal RNA". It matches the Rfam family "Eukaryotic small subunit ribosomal RNA", at positions 592 to 976 of the family's 1831-position model. The record is from RNAcentral.
CAAUAGCGUAUAUUAAAGUUGCUGCAGUUAAAAAGCUCGUAGUUGGAUUUGUGGCGUACGGUGUGUUCCGGGCACUUGUUGUCUGAGUAACCUGCUGUUGCCAUCCUUGGGUGGAACCUGUGUGGCAUUAGGUUGUCGUGCAGGGGAUGCCCAUCAUUUACUGUGAAAAAAUUAGAGUGUUCAAAGCAGGCUUAUGCCGUUGAAUAUAUUAGCAUGGAAUAAUGAGAUAGGACUUUUUUGCUAUUUUGUUGGUUUGCGCAAAGAGGUAAUGAUUAAUAGGGACAGUUGGGGGUAUUCGUAUUCCAUUGUCAGAGGUGAAAUUCUUGGAUUUUUGGAAGACGAACUACUGCGAAAGCAUUUACCAAGGAUGUUUUCAUUAA